UACAAUGGGCUACAUGAUGGCCAAAAA
This 27-nucleotide unclassified non-coding RNA is filed under the name Mus musculus (house mouse). RNAcentral describes it as "oocyte_clustered_small_RNA9965". The record is from RNAcentral. Lineage: Eukaryota; Metazoa; Chordata; Mammalia; Rodentia; Muridae.